AUGCUCACUUUGGCAGCACAUAUACUAAAAUUGGAAUGAAACAGAGAAAAUUAGCAUGACCCCUAUACAGGGAUGACGUACAAAUUCUUAAAGUGUUCCAUAUUUUU
Small nuclear RNA from Molossus molossus (Pallas's mastiff bat), 107 nucleotides. The record is from RefSeq and is a predicted model, not a curated record. Lineage: Eukaryota; Metazoa; Chordata; Mammalia; Chiroptera; Molossidae.